UGAGGAAUAUUGGUCAAUGGGCGGUAGCCUGAACCAGCCAAGUCGCGUGAGGGAUGACGGCCCUACGGGUUGUAAACCUCUUUUAUAAGGGAAUAAAGGACAUCACGUGUGAUGUUUUGCAUGUACCUUAUGAAUAAGCAUCGGCCAACUCCGUGCCAGCAGCCGCGGUAAUACGGAGGAUGCGAGCGUUAUCCGGAUUCAUUGGGUUUAAAGGGUGCGUAGGUUGCCGAUUAAGUCAGCGGUGAAAGUCAGUGGCUCAACCAUUGAACUGCCGUUGAAACUGGUUGGCUUGAGUACGUACGGGGCAGGCGGAAUGCGUGGUGUAGCGGUGAAAUGCAUAGAUAU
Molecule: ribosomal RNA, 345 nt
Filed under: uncultured Parabacteroides sp.
Lineage: Bacteria; Pseudomonadati; Bacteroidota; Bacteroidia; Bacteroidales; Tannerellaceae
Description: bacterial SSU rRNA
Rfam family: Bacterial small subunit ribosomal RNA
Source: RNAcentral